GACGAACCGUGCAAACGUUGUUCGGAAUCACUGGGCUUAAAGGGCGCGUAGGCGGGUGUGUAAGUCUGCGGUGAAAUCCUCCAGCUUAACUGGAGAAGUGCCGUGGAUACUGCUCAUCUUGGGGAGGGUAGGGGCAUCUGGAACGGUCGGUGGAGCGGUGAAAUGCGUUGAUAUCGACCGGAACUCCGGUGGCGAAGGCGAGGUGCUGGACCCUUUCUGACGCUGAGGCGCGAAAGCCAGGGGAGCAAACGGGAUUAGAUACCCCGGUAGUCCUGGCCCUAAACGUUGAGAACUAGGUAGUGGACUGAACAUGGGUUCACUGCCGGAGCAAAAGUGCUAAGUUCUCCGCCUGGGGAGUAUGGUCGCAAGGCUGAA
Molecule: ribosomal RNA, 375 nt
Filed under: uncultured bacterium
Lineage: Bacteria
Description: bacterial SSU rRNA
Rfam family: Bacterial small subunit ribosomal RNA
Source: RNAcentral